Molecule: ribosomal RNA, 1200 nt
Filed under: Lactiplantibacillus plantarum
Lineage: Bacteria; Bacillati; Bacillota; Bacilli; Lactobacillales; Lactobacillaceae
Description: bacterial SSU rRNA
Rfam family: Bacterial small subunit ribosomal RNA
Source: RNAcentral
UGGUGCUUGCAUCAUGAUUUACAUUUGAGUGAGUGGCGAACUGGUGAGUAACACGUGGGAAACCUGCCCAGAAGCGGGGGAUAACACCUGGAAACAGAUGCUAAUACCGCAUAACAACUUGGACCGCAUGGUCCGAGCUUGAAAGAUGGCUUCGGCUAUCACUUUUGGAUGGUCCCGCGGCGUAUUAGCUAGAUGGUGGGGUAACGGCUCACCAUGGCAAUGAUACGUAGCCGACCUGAGAGGGUAAUCGGCCACAUUGGGACUGAGACACGGCCCAAACUCCUACGGGAGGCAGCAGUAGGGAAUCUUCCACAAUGGACGAAAGUCUGAUGGAGCAACGCCGCGUGAGUGAAGAAGGGUUUCGGCUCGUAAAACUCUGUUGUUAAAGAAGAACAUAUCUGAGAGUAACUGUUCAGGUAUUGACGGUAUUUAACCAGAAAGCCACGGCUAACUACGUGCCAGCAGCCGCGGUAAUACGUAGGUGGCAAGCGUUGUCCGGAUUUAUUGGGCGUAAAGCGAGCGCAGGCGGUUUUUUAAGUCUGAUGUGAAAGCCUUCGGCUCAACCGAAGAAGUGCAUCGGAAACUGGGAAACUUGAGUGCAGAAGAGGACAGUGGAACUCCAUGUGUAGCGGUGAAAUGCGUAGAUAUAUGGAAGAACACCAGUGGCGAAGGCGGCUGUCUGGUCUGUAACUGACGCUGAGGCUCGAAAGUAUGGGUAGCAAACAGGAUUAGAUACCCUGGUAGUCCAUACCGUAAACGAUGAAUGCUAAGUGUUUGGAAGGGUUUCCGCCCCUUCAGUGCUGCAGCUAACGCAUUAAGCAUUCCGCCUGGGGGAGUACGGCCGCAAGGCUGAAACUCAAAGGAAUUGACGGGGGCCCGCACAAGCGGUGGAGCAUGGGGGUUUAAUUCGAAGCUACGCGAAGAACCUUACCAGGUCUUGACAUACUAUGCAAAUCUAAGAAGAUUAGACGUUCCCUUCGGGGACAUGGAUACAAGGUGGGGGCAAGGGUUGUCGUCAACUCCUGUCCUGAAAAAAUUUGGGGUUAAUUCCCCCCACCAAGGCCACCCCUUAUUAUCAUUUGCCACCAUUAAAUUUGGGCACUCCUGGUGGAGACUGCCGGUGAAAACCCGAGGAAAAGGGGGGGGGUGGAGGGGGGAAAACAUUAAUGGCCCUUUUUAAACCUGGGGGUCACCACCCGC